AAUAAUGCAGCCAGGGGAUGUAGUACCCUGUGUUGGCAGUAAAAUGAGGCUCGUGGCACUCUGAAAUGCUACUAGGGGAUGUCGUACGCUAUGCAGAAAAUAAUGCAGCCAGGGGAUAUAGUACCCUGUGUUGAGAAUAAAAUGAGGCUCAUGGCACUCUAAAAUGCUACUAGGGGAUGUUGUACCCUAUGUAGAAAAUAAUUCAGCCAGGGGACGUAGUACACUGUGUUGGCAAUAAAAUGAGGCUCGUGGCUCUCUGAAAUGCUACUAGGGGAUGUGGUAGCCUAUGCAGAAAAUAAUGCAGCCAGGGG
This 311-nucleotide long non-coding RNA is filed under the name Nicotiana benthamiana. RNAcentral's name for it is "long non-coding RNA (NBEN_LNC007333)". Lineage: Eukaryota; Viridiplantae; Streptophyta; Magnoliopsida; Solanales; Solanaceae. The record is from RNAcentral.